UACGAAGGGGGCUAGCGUUGCUCGGAAUCACUGGGCGUAAAGCGCACGUAGGCGGGUCUUUAAGUCAGGGGUGAAAUCCUGGAGCUCAACUCCAGAACUGCCUUUGAUACUGAAGAUCUUGAGUUCGGGAGAGGUGAGUGGAACUGCGAGUGUAGAGGUGAAAUUCGUAGAUAUUCGCAAGAACACCAGUGGCGAAGGCGGCUCACUGGCCCGAUACUGACGCUGAUGCACGAAAGCGUGGGGAGCAAGCAGG
Molecule: ribosomal RNA, 253 nt
Filed under: uncultured bacterium
Lineage: Bacteria
Description: partial 16S ribosomal RNA
Rfam family: Bacterial small subunit ribosomal RNA
Source: RNAcentral